CCGGAAACGGUAGCUAAUACCACAUGACAUCAUUGAUACGCAUGUAUUGGUGAUUAAAGCUUUAUGUGGUCAAGGAUGGGCCUGCGUUGGAUUAGUUUGUUGGUAAGGUAACGGCUUACCAAGGCUACGAUCCAUAGCUGGUCUGAGAGGAUGAUCAGCCACACUGGCACUGAGACACGGGCCAGACUCCUACGGGAGGCAGCAGUGAGGAAUAUUGCGCAAUGGGCGAAAGCCUGACGCAGCCACGCCGCGUGGAGGAUGACACCCCUAUGGGGCGUAAACUCCUUUUAUGUGAGAAGAAGGUCCAAGUCGCUUGGAAUUGACGGUAUCACAUGAAUAAGCACCGGCUAACUCCGUGCCAGCAGCCGCGGUAAUACGGAGGGUGCAAGCGUUGUCCGGAAUCACUGGGUGUAAAGGGUGUGUAGGCGGGACUAUAAGUCAGGGGUGAAAUCCCACAGCUUAACUGUGGAACUGCCCUUGAUACUGUAGUUCUUGAGUCUCGGAGAGGUUGCUGGAAUUCGUGGUGUAGCGGUGAAAUGCGUAGAUAUCACGAGGAACACCAGAGGUGUAGACGGG
This 576-nucleotide ribosomal RNA is filed under the name bacterium MS-B-101. Its description in RNAcentral is "bacterial SSU rRNA". It matches the Rfam family "Bacterial small subunit ribosomal RNA", at positions 150 to 725 of the family's 1533-position model. The record is from RNAcentral.